CCUACGGGUGGCAGCAGUGAGGAAUAUUGGUCAAUGGACGGAAGCCUGAACCAGCCAUGCCGCGUGCAGGAUGACGGCUCUACGAGUUGUAAACUGCUUUUGUACAAGGGUAAACCUGAAUACGUGUAUUCAGAUGAAAGUACUCUACGAAUAAGGAUUGGCCAACUCCGUGCCCGCCACCGCGGUAAUACGGGGGAUCCAAGCGUUAUCCGGAUUUAUUGGGUUUAAAGGGUGGGUAGGCGGGUAUAUAAGUUCAAGGGUAAAUGUUCGGGCUUAACUCGGGACGUGCCUUUAAUACUGUUGUUCUAGAGAGUGAGUGAGGUAGGCGGAAUGUAUGGUGUAGCGGUGAAAUGCUUAGAUAUCAUACAGAACUCCGAUUGCGAAGGCAGCUUACCAGUCUAUAACUGACGCUGAGGCACGAAAGCGUGGGUAGCGAACAGGAUUAGAUACCCUGGUAGUC
This 460-nucleotide ribosomal RNA is filed under the name uncultured bacterium. RNAcentral describes it as "partial 16S ribosomal RNA". It matches the Rfam family "Bacterial small subunit ribosomal RNA", at positions 338 to 795 of the family's 1533-position model. The record is from RNAcentral.